Non-coding RNA from Microcebus murinus (gray mouse lemur), 227 nucleotides. NCBI's taxonomy places the organism in Eukaryota, Metazoa, Chordata, Mammalia, Primates, Cheirogaleidae. The record is from RefSeq and is a predicted model, not a curated record.
GCUCACGCUGGGCCUCGUCGGGCGCCGCGCAGCCUCAGCCUGGGAGGAGAUGUGCCCAGUCCGUCCACGCAGCAACACGGUCAAUUUUUGCUCUAAUGGAGAUGCUGGGACCUCCUGCUGGACUCCCAGGCCCCCAGAAAGGUAUCAAACUAAGGCCAACUUCAGUGGUUAGCUCAUGAAACUGUCAGGCAGUCUGAAUAAUGAAGCCAAGGAGACAGAAGCCACAG